UUGGGUUUAGCAUUUAUUUGUUCUGUAAUUUUGAUUGUCUUGUAGAGAGUAUAAAUACUGGCAACAUAUCUAGAAUUGGUCAGAUUCAUCAUUACUUUAUUGCGAAUUCAGUUCUUCUCCUUUUCUCGGUUGAUUCGCCAGAAGUUUAACCUCGUCGAGCAUCAUGAAGACAUUCCAGCUUUCUGUUAUUCUCUUCGUAUCUCUCUGUCUCUUGUUAACCACAGAGCAGUCGGAAGCACGCCGCUCUCGUCUGUCUAAGGCAGUCAAGGAUGUCAUGCAUCCACGUGAGAAGCGAUCAUCUUCAUCUGAAUCUUCUGCUUCUUCAGCUUCUUCAUCAUCUUCUGCUGAAUCUGAUUCUGAUUCAGCAGAGGUAACGACCGCCGCUCCCACUCCCGCUCCCGCUCCCUAGUACUGAUGACAGUGCAGACAGUGAUACUAGCGAUUAGCCAGCAUCUUGGUUCAGGCCAACUGCGGUGACUCGAUGGAUCCUUGAGGAACUCCAAUCUUAAACGGCUCUUAACGGCUCAUGUUGACUGCUCCUCUCACUUUUAACACCACCCCCCCCCCCACUCCUCCAAAGUGACACUAAUCACGAGACAAAGCUCCUAGAUGGAUCCACAUCCGGGAUAGUAGUUUGUUCACGUGGUUCACCCUUUAGACUCUUGGGUCGUAUUGACCCGGAACUGGUCCGAUGUGACCUCUUGAUGGUCAGAUCUUACCUUUUCCAUGUCACAUCGGCCCUUUUUCGGGUCAUUUUCAAGAAAAUAUUGUUGAAAUAUCGAAAAUGAAAAAUUUGUCAACUUCCUAAUCCUCUUUUGGAAUCAGACGACUAGUCUGAAAAUGCUUGCAUAAAAUUAACCUUAGUCCUCAUCAUUCGUCUAGACAAUUAUACGCAAUGAGUAUUUUUUCAUAAGUUUUAAUAUUGUAAACGAAAUAUGCCGUAUUCAUUUUUUCCUUUGGAGGGAGCUAGGGAGGAAUUUCCUUUUUCUUUCCCUCUAUCUCUCUAUUCUCUCUCUCUCUCUCUUUACUGUUGGUGUUUUUUCUUUAUCCUGUAUACCAAGACACUGAUUAAAACCGUAUUAAGAUUAAAUUGAAGUCACCA
Molecule: long non-coding RNA, 1102 nt
Organism: Lytechinus variegatus (green sea urchin)
Lineage: Eukaryota; Metazoa; Echinodermata; Echinoidea; Temnopleuroida; Toxopneustidae
Exons: 3
Source: RefSeq, a predicted model, not a curated record